RNAcentral lists this ribosomal RNA (370 nucleotides) under Theileria luwenshuni. RNAcentral describes it as "SSU rRNA". It matches the Rfam family "Eukaryotic small subunit ribosomal RNA", at positions 490 to 889 of the family's 1831-position model. Lineage: Eukaryota; Apicomplexa; Aconoidasida; Piroplasmida; Theileriidae. The record is from RNAcentral.
UAUUCCGUCUGCAUAUGUCUUGUAUUGGAAUGAUGGGAAUUUAAACCUCUUCCAGAGUAUCAAUUGGAGGGCAAGUCUGGUGCCAGCAGCCGCGGUAAUUCCAGCUCCAAUAGCGUAUAUUAAAAUUGUUGCAGUUAAAAAGCUCGUAGUUGAAUUUCUGCUGCAUUGCAUCUUCUUUUUGAUGAGUUGGUGUAUUGUGGCUUAUUUCGGAUGAUACUUGUAUUAUCCGGAUGAUUACUUUGAGAAAAUUAGAGUGCUCAAAGCAGGCUUUUGCCUUGAAUAGUUUAGCAUGGAAUAAUAAAGUAGGACUUUGGUUCUAUUUUGUUGGUUUUAGGUACCAAAGUAAUGGUUAAUAGGAGCAGUUGGGAGA